This 725-nucleotide long non-coding RNA is filed under the name Mus musculus (house mouse). RNAcentral's name for it is "predicted gene, 31499". The record is from RNAcentral. Lineage: Eukaryota; Metazoa; Chordata; Mammalia; Rodentia; Muridae.
GUAAAUGUGCUGUUUCCCCAGGAGAUGGAAGGAGGCUGCUGUAGAUACAAUUUAAAUAACAGUCUCAAAUAAAUGCUAUGCCAGAGAGAGAAGAGACUAGAAGCCAAGGGAGAGAAAGAGAUAGACUGUGUCCAAACCUAGUUUAGAAAGCAGAGGGCUGAUGACUUAAGGGAGGUCAGAGAUGUCGCUGCUGCUGGGAGGGAAGGCACAGGAUGGGAGGGAUGCUUGGGCUGUGCUGUUUACAUGUUCUGUUCCCCCAAAGCACUCUUUUUUUGGAUUAUGAUCGCAUAGGCACAGAAUCUUUUUGAAGCAAAGUUGAUGUUAAUUUCAGACGACCUAUUUCUAGGGGCAUUCUGGGAUCUGACUGGACGAAGCCUUGCGUAUACCACAGGCUGAAGGAGGAGGAGGAGGAAGGCCAGGAAUGCUGGUGUGAAUCUUCAAGGGCCGGCAAACUGAAAUCAUGGGAGAAAUGCCAGCUACCACUAAUAUCCAGGACCCGGAGCCAUGGGCUGAAAGGGUGGGUUCAGGACCUUUUGGAAAAUGUCACCAGACCCCUCCCCUCCAGAAGGGGAAGGCUAAUUAACAUUCCACAGGACAGACUGACCAUCAGCCACCUGCCAGUGGGAGAGGCCUAGAGCAGGUAAACACAUUCCACAGGACAGACCGACUAACGGACCAUCUACAUCCACAGACAAGGGAAGUCCCUGCCACCUCAUUCUCUAAAG